AUGGCUUCUUCUUCAUCGAUCUGGCGUCUCUUCGCAGCGCCUCAACUUCAAUCGUUUUCAGAUUCCUACGAUCUUCUACCACCUUCGUUCAUACUGCCUCUCCGUCCACUCACAAUUUCUCAUUUCAGCUGCAUAUCAACUUCGUUCUACCUUAAUUCAUCUUCUAAUCCGUCUUCAACUCAGUGUCAUAGAGUUCAAAUAUGCGAAAAUAAAGGAGAGUUUGAGGCUUACCGAUCGGAGACACUCCGACGGCGCUUCGAAGAUGCCAAAAUAAAAACCAGAUUCUAUUUAGAUUGCAAUGCGUGA
Non-coding RNA from Vicia faba (fava bean), 306 nucleotides. The record is from the annotation of a GenBank genome assembly. Lineage: Eukaryota; Viridiplantae; Streptophyta; Magnoliopsida; Fabales; Fabaceae.